Molecule: ribosomal RNA, 446 nt
Filed under: uncultured bacterium
Lineage: Bacteria
Description: partial 16S ribosomal RNA
Rfam family: Bacterial small subunit ribosomal RNA
Source: RNAcentral
CCUACGGGUGGCUGCAGUCGAGAAUCAUUCACAAUGGGGGAAACCCUGAUGGUGCGACGCCGCGUGGGGGAAUGAAGGUCUUCGGAUUGUAAACCCCUGUCAUGUGGGAGCAAAUUAAAAAGAUAGUACCACAAGAGGAAUAGACGGCUAACUCUGUGCCAGCAGCCGCGGUAAUACAGAGGUCUCAAGCGUUGUUCGGAAUCACUGGGCGUAAAGCGUGCGUAGGCUGUUUCGUAAGUCGUGUGUGAAAGGCGCGGGCUCAACCCGCGGAAGGCACAUGAUACUGCGAGACUAGAGUACUGGAGGGGGAACCGGAAUUCUCGGUGUAGCAGUGAAAUGCGUAGAUAUCGAGAGGAACACUCGUGGCGAAGGCGGGUUACUGGACAUUAACUGACGCUGAGGCACGAAGGCCAGGGGAGCGAAAGGGAUUAGAUACCCGUGUAGUC